Molecule: ribosomal RNA, 866 nt
Filed under: Fellodistomum agnotum
Lineage: Eukaryota; Metazoa; Platyhelminthes; Trematoda; Strigeidida; Fellodistomidae
Description: partial large subunit ribosomal RNA
Source: RNAcentral
ACGGCGAGUGAACAGGGAAGAGCCCAGCACCGAAGCCUGUGGCCAUUUGGUCUCUAGGCAAUGUGGUGUUUAGGUCAGCUCGCGGAGACACUGUCCCACUCUAAGUCCAGCAAUGAGACUGGUAUCUGGACAUGGCCCAAAGAGGGUGAAAGGCCCGUGAGGGUGGGAACUCAGACAUGCCAGUGUCUCCCUGAGUAGACCUUGGAGUCGGGUUGUUUGUGAAUGCAGCCCAAAGUGGGUGGUAAACUCCAUCCAAGGCUAAAUACUAACACGAGUCCGAUAGCGAACAAGUACCGUGAGGGAAAGUUGAAAAGUACUUUGAAGAGAGAGUAAACAGUGCGUGAAACCGCUCAGAGGUAAACGGGUGGAGUUGAACUGCAAAGCUCCGAGAAUUUAACUGGUGAGUGUGGUAUACACUUGGAUAUAUUGGUUGGCCCUCAAAGUCUGCAGAAAACUGUGGAGGCUGUGCUAACGCGCGGCGUGCGUUGAAGCGCUUAUCAAGCGCUGUGCUCUUUGGGGGUACUUCGAACCUGCUUGCCAGUGCAUUUUCUCAGAGUGAUCACCACGACCGGCGCUGCUGUCUGUCUGCUGUGGUUAAACCGGGUGUGUAUCGUCCUUGUGGCUUUGCAUACUCGGGAUGGCAGGUAACCCGAUUGUGCUUGUCACGAUUGGGUGUAAUCAGCUGACCAUAGUAGUACUGUGCAGUGCGUCGGAGACGGCGGCUUGUGGUGCGUACAUGCGUGCAUGUUGAGUGGCGGCUUUGGGUCUGGUUAUACUGUAGCCUGUAAAAACAGGCCAUGUAAUGGCCCAGGGUUGUYCACUUGAUGGUUGCGUAUGGGGCACUUUAAUKGGCCUACAGUCUGUGG